RNAcentral lists this transfer RNA (65 nucleotides) under Cardiocondyla obscurior. RNAcentral describes it as "tRNA-Cys". Lineage: Eukaryota; Metazoa; Arthropoda; Insecta; Hymenoptera; Formicidae. The record is from RNAcentral.
UUAAUUUUAGUUUAUAAAAAUAUUAAAUUGCAAAUUUAAAGAUAUAUAAUUUAUUAUAAAUUAAU